Oncorhynchus tshawytscha (Chinook salmon) is the source of this 724-nucleotide long non-coding RNA. The record is from Ensembl. NCBI's taxonomy places the organism in Eukaryota, Metazoa, Chordata, Actinopteri, Salmoniformes, Salmonidae.
AGAAUUUGGCAUGGUGGGAGUGCUGCACAGCGUGAGGUAAUACAGUAGGGGGAGUGCUGCUCAGCGUGUGGUAAUACAGUAGGGGGAGUGCUGCUCAGCGUGAGGUAAUACAGUAGGGGGAGUGCUGCUCAGCGUGAGGUAAUACAGUAAGGGGAGUGCUGCUCAGCGUGAGGUAAUACAGUAGGGGGAGUGCUGCUCAGCGUGAGGUAAUACAGUAGGGGAGUGCUGCUCAGCGUGAGGUAAUACAGUAGGGGAGUGCUGCUCAGCGUGAGGUAAUACAGUAGGGGGAUGCUGCUCAGUGUGAGGUAAUACAGUAGAGGGAGUGCUGCUCAGCGUGAGGUAAUACAGUAGGGGGAGUGCUGCUCAGCGUGAGGUAAUACAGUAGGGGGAGUGCUGCUCAGCGUGAGGUAAUACAGUAGGGGGAGUGCUGCUCAGCGUGAGGUAAUACAAGAACGUACUCGGAGAAUGAGAGUCAGUCUGUGUGUCAGUCUGUGUGUCAGUCUAUGUGUCAGUCUGUGUGUCAGUCUGUGUGUCAGUCUGUGUGUCAGUCUGUGUGUCAGUCUGUGUGUCUGUCUGUGUGUCAGUCUGUGUGUCAGUCUGUGUGUCAGUGCAUGAUACUGUGUUCAACACUGCAUGUCAGAGCUCAGUAAACCACGGUUCAGCUGGGUCCAUGAUGCGGUCUCUGACACACACACACACACACACACACACACACACACACACA